This is a long non-coding RNA of Myotis lucifugus (little brown bat), 1008 nucleotides long. RefSeq lists it as uncharacterized. The transcript is spliced from 2 exons. The record is from RefSeq and is a predicted model, not a curated record. NCBI's taxonomy places the organism in Eukaryota, Metazoa, Chordata, Mammalia, Chiroptera, Vespertilionidae.
AUUUUCGUGCAUUGGGCCUCUAGGAGGUCAAUAAUAUAACAGUAUGAGCUACAGAUCACAACCUAAAUAGUGUCACAAAUUCAAAUCUUCGGGCCAGUUCUCUGAGUUUCAUAUCCACUUCAUUGUCUCCCAGUUGGUAUCACAAAGGCACUUCAAUAUAAUAUGUUAAAAACCCAAUUCAUGUCCCUCCCCUCCCUAAACCCAAACCCAGUUCUCUUGUAUGCUCAUCUCAUGUGAAUUGGCACCAUCCUUCUAUCCAGUUGCACACACAAUAAAUCUUGGACUCAUCCUUAGUACCUAUCUCAAUUUAGAUUGAAUCCCUAAAAAGUUCUCAUGUCUGUCCAUUUUCUUCCGUUUUGCUGGUAUUCUUUCCCUGGGUCUUCUCAAGUACUUGCUCUGAUGGAGAGGGCCGCCUCCAAACCACAGCCAGCUAAGAACUGAGGCCCUGGGUACAACAGUCCAGGAAAAGUCCUGCCCAACUGUUAAGUGAGCUUGGAAGUGGUUCCGCCUCAGAGCCUGGAAACCGUUUCUUGAAGCCCCAGCGAAGUUUCUCCUGUGAAAAGGGAGUAACGUCAGGCCUGGGUCUCCAAACAGAUUUACACCUCUCUGGGAAGGUGACCUUGGAGCUGCCUUCUCGCAGCACUGUUUCCUUGGCAACUACCAUGUGCGGCUAGAGAAGAAUGCUUUGUGCUGGAAGCUGAUUGUCUGCCUUAUCUGCUCCGAAAUCCCCCAUCUGCGGAACUGCACCUGCACAGAGAGCGGUGAGCUGGCCCCCGGAUAAACACUGCUGAGACUCCUGGCCAGUGCAUCCGUGCACCCCAUCUUCCUUCGCACCUGUACAGGCCACGGGUGGGUCAGGCGGGCCAAGAAGCCAGUAUACCUGGGUAGAGCCCCUGAGCCUCCUGAUGACAUGACAAAACUGUACACUCAGUUUGCCUGUCUUGUAUCCCUCUCUAAGAUUAAUACAUGAAGUAUUAGAAUAAAGUCUAUUGUAUCUUACAAAUUUGA